GCACACACACGCACACGCGCGCGCACACACACGCACACGCACACACGGCUUUGAACUUGAGAAUGGCAAGCAGCGAAAAUAUACCGGCUACAGACGGCGAGUCUGUUCAAAAAGAGCAAGACAGUUAUGAUAAAAAGUGUAUUUUCUGUAAGAUUGUUAACGGGGAGAUGGACACCGAGCUUCUACACAGCGAUGAAGACACGUCAUGUUUCAGAGAUAUAAAACCGGGGGCUCCUCAUCACUAUCUUGUUGUGCCAACAAAGCACGUAGGGAAUUGUAAAUCACUUCGCAAAGAACAUGUUCCACUAGUGGAGAAAUUGCUGGAAACAGGAAAAGCAGUUCUUCAGAAGAACAACGUAACUGAUUUAAAUGAUGUCAGGUUUGGUUUUCACUGGCCUCCAUUUCAUUCUGUUACACAUCUGCACCUCCACGUGUUGGCACCUGCCAGUCAAAUGGGCUUCAUCUCUCGCUUCAUCUACCGCCUAGACUCCUACUGGUUCGUCACGGUGAGAAUUCUGAAUAGAUGAUUUGGGGCUUGUUUUUGGAGGCUCCAUUGUAAAGUCUGGGACCAAUGUUACAGACUGCUGAUCAGUUGAUCCAAAGACUGAACUCGAUGGACUAAUAGAAGAAUGGAAAUGUCAUGUUGCCUUUACACUGAGAAUAUAAAUGGAUCGUCUCAGUGCUUAGGGAAAAGAGGUGAAGUGAAAGUACCUCCAGGUUAUGAUUUAUUUUAGUCAUUAUUAUUUGCAUGUUAGCUUGUCUGUUUCUGACAGACAAACUGGGCAAAUUUGGAGAUAAGCCUUUAAAAUAAUUUAUUUUGACUGUUAAGUGGACAGGUUUAUUUAACUGGUGAAUGCUUGAGAAUAAUCUGAUAUUUACAUCACAGUCCCUGACAAAGGUAUUUUUAAGUAAUGUGUAUGUCUGCCUGAAUAACUAGAUACAAUUUCUGAUACUGAGAUUUUAAAAAACAACAACAAAAAAAACCCACAUCUAUGUGCAAAAUAAUAUUUGUAUAGCAUGCCAUACCCUUGGAUUUAGUAGCAUGUGAUUAAGGCAUAAUGCAUUCCAAUAAAGUCAACUUUGGCUAAUUACAA
Ictalurus punctatus (channel catfish) is the source of this 1094-nucleotide RNA transcript. It is a transcript of the gene named histidine triad nucleotide binding protein 3, with no coding region annotated. The transcript has 5 exons. Lineage: Eukaryota; Metazoa; Chordata; Actinopteri; Siluriformes; Ictaluridae. The record is from RefSeq and is a predicted model, not a curated record.